GAUGAAGAACGUAGCGAAAUGCGAUAAGUAGUGUGAAUUGCAGAAUUCAGUGAAUCAUCGAAUCUUUGAACGCACAUUGCGCCCCUUGGUAUUCCAUGGGGCAUGCCUGUUCGAGCGUCAUUUGUACCUUCAAGCUCUGCUUGGUGUUGGGUGUUUGUCUCGCCUCUGCGUGUAGACUCGCCUCAAAAUAAUUGGCAGCCGGCGUAUUGAUUUCGGAGCGCAGUACAUCUCGCGCUUUGCACUCAUAACGACGACGUCCAAAAGUACAUUUUUACACUCUUGACCUCGGAUCAGGUAGGGAUACCCGCUGAACUUAAGCAUAUCAUAAGCGGAGGA
This 336-nucleotide unclassified non-coding RNA is filed under the name soil metagenome. Its description in RNAcentral is "partial contains 5.8S ribosomal RNA, internal transcribed spacer 2, and large subunit ribosomal RNA". The stretch from base 1 to 120 matches the Rfam family "5.8S ribosomal RNA", at positions 35 to 154 of the family's 154-position model. The record is from RNAcentral.